RNAcentral lists this ribosomal RNA (728 nucleotides) under Salmonella enterica subsp. enterica. Its description in RNAcentral is "partial 23S ribosomal RNA". It matches the Rfam family "Bacterial large subunit ribosomal RNA", at positions 626 to 1269 of the family's 2925-position model. Lineage: Bacteria; Pseudomonadati; Pseudomonadota; Gammaproteobacteria; Enterobacterales; Enterobacteriaceae. The record is from RNAcentral.
ACUUAUAUUCUGUAGCAAGGUUAACCGAAUAGGGGAGCCGGAGGGAAACCGAGUCUUAAUUGGGCGUUAAGUUGCAGGGUAUAGACCCGAAACCCGGUGAUCUAGCCAUGGGCAGGUUGAAGGUUGGGUAACACUAACUGGAGGACCGAACCGACUAAUGUUGAAAAAUUAGCGGAUGACCUGUGGCUGGGGGUGAAAGGCCAAUCAAACCGGGAGAUAGCUGGUUCUCCCCGAAAGCUAUUUAGGUAGCGCCUCGUGAAUUCAUCUCCGGGGGUAGAGCACUGUUUCGGCUAGGGGGCCAUCCCGGCUUACCAACCCGAUGCAAACUGCGAAUACCGGAGAAUGUUAUCACGGGAGACACACGGCGGGUGCUAACGUCCGUCGUGAAGAGGGAAACAACCCAGACCGCCAGCUAAGGUCCCAAAGUCAUGGUUAAGUGGGAAACGAUGUGGGAAGGCCCAGACAGCCAGGAUGUUGGCUUAGAAGCAGCCAUCAUUUAAAGAAAGCGUAAUAGCUCACUGGUCGAGUCGGCCUGCGCGGAAGAUGUAACGGGGCUAAACCAUGCACCGAAGCUGCGGCAGCGAACGUAUCACCCAAGACAACUUUACGGAGUUGACGAUUGACGGAGCGAAGCGACGUCAAAGCGUUCAUUAAAGUCGAGUUGGCUUAGGGAUACGUUCGUUGGGUAGGGGAGCGUUCUGUAAGCCUGUGAAGGUGUGUCGUGAGGC